CGGCGGACGGGUGAGUAAUGUAUAGGGAUCUGCCUGAUGGCGGGGGAUAACUACUGGAAACGGUAGCUAAUACCGCAUAAUGUCUACGGACCAAAGCGGGGGACCUCCGGGCCUCGCGCCAUCAGAUGAACCCAUAUGGGAUUAGCUAGUAGGUAAGGUAACGGCUUACCUAGGCGACGAUCCCUAGCUGGUCUGAGAGGAUGACCAGCCACACUGGGACUGAGACACGGCCCAG
This 235-nucleotide ribosomal RNA is filed under the name uncultured bacterium. Its description in RNAcentral is "partial 16S ribosomal RNA". It matches the Rfam family "Bacterial small subunit ribosomal RNA", at positions 96 to 334 of the family's 1533-position model. The record is from RNAcentral.